GGCGCCAUAGCCAAGUGGUAAGGCACAGCUCUGCAAAAGCUUUAUCCCCAGUUCAAAUCUGGGUGGCGCCUCCA
Molecule: transfer RNA, 74 nt
Filed under: Paenibacillus macquariensis subsp. macquariensis
Lineage: Bacteria; Bacillati; Bacillota; Bacilli; Caryophanales; Paenibacillaceae
Also listed under: 28 other names
Description: tRNA-Cys
Rfam family: tRNA
About the family: Transfer RNA (tRNA) molecules are approximately 80 nucleotides in length. Their secondary structure includes four short double-helical elements and three loops (D, anti-codon, and T loops).
Source: RNAcentral